GGACACUCCAACUGCUACAUCCAUUUCUCUAAUACCAAUCCCAGAAACAAAACACACAAUGUAUACCAAGUCUUGUACAUCAAACACAUGAUCACCAUUCAUGAAACCAUUAAUGAAAAACUCAUGAAUACAUACAUCCUUUCAAAACUGUAAAGCAUAACCAUUAUUCAGAUCCUAUUAACCAUUCUAGUUAUUGGUUCAGUUUAAUAUGCAACUAUGAUCAUGUUGUUCCUCGAGAAUGCAGUUAUUGAAGGAAGAAAUUCAACAUGAGUGGACCUUAUGGUCUAGUCCUUCAAUAUAUGACAAAAAACGGGUGACUAGUUCUAUACUUUGCAGAGGUGAAAAUCUGUGAGGAAACAUCUAUGCUGCUUUGCUUAUGAUCAAAUAUUUUUCCUACAAUAUCAGGUACCUGUACUCAUCAACAAACUAGACAUCAUAGUAGUUAAAUCAAGAUGCAAAUUGUGAAUCAGAUGACUAGUUUCUGAACCGUGAAUCAAAUCUUAUUAUAAAUCGUAAGAUACAUGAUACAAAAUGACACUCUUUUAAGUAAAAACAACAGAAACAGAAACAUGAGCUAAUAUAUCAUUAAAUCAAUAGCCUUCCUAUGAGACUCAUUCCACAUGAAUCGUGCCGCUGCCGCCGUGUGAUCUCCCUAUCCAUUAAACAGUAAUCAAAAGAAAGCAACGACCUGCGACCGUUGUCCUUUAUUGCUUCUAAGCUCAAAGCAUGAAAUUACUAAAUAGAAUUACAGCUAACAAUGCUGCAAAUUCUAAAAGUAAGUUGGAAAAA
This is a long non-coding RNA of Cicer arietinum (chickpea), 789 nucleotides long. RefSeq lists it as uncharacterized. The record is from RefSeq and is a predicted model, not a curated record. Lineage: Eukaryota; Viridiplantae; Streptophyta; Magnoliopsida; Fabales; Fabaceae.